This 487-nucleotide ribosomal RNA is filed under the name uncultured bacterium. RNAcentral describes it as "bacterial SSU rRNA". It matches the Rfam family "Bacterial small subunit ribosomal RNA", at positions 29 to 489 of the family's 1533-position model. The record is from RNAcentral.
AACGAACGCUGGCGGCGUGGAUAAGACAUGCAAGUUGAACGCUAAUUCCGGUGUAGCAAUACAUCGGAGUUGGAGUAGCGCAAGGGUGCGUAACACGUGGGUAAUUUGCCGUGAAGUUGGGGAUAACUCGCUGAAAGGCGAGCUAAUACCGAAUGUGAAGUUUGGGUGGCAUCACCUGACCUUUAAAGCUGGGGAUCGUAAGACCUGGCGCUUUAUGAUAAGCCCGCGGCCAUCAGCUAGUUGGUGAGGUAACGGCUCACCAAGGCUAAGACGGGUAGCUGGUCUGAGAGGACGACCAGCCACACUGGAACUGAGACACGGUCCAGACACCUACGGGUGGCAGCAGUCGAGUAAUUUUUCUCAAUGGGCGCAAGCCUGAAGGAGCGACGCCGCGUGUGGGAUGAAGGGUUUCGAUCCGUAAACCACUGUCAUUUGUGAACAUGGUUAUCCGUGAAUAACGGAUGACUUGAUAGUAACGAAAGAGGAA